Molecule: long non-coding RNA, 339 nt
Filed under: Felis catus (domestic cat)
Lineage: Eukaryota; Metazoa; Chordata; Mammalia; Carnivora; Felidae
Description: lncRNA (ENSFCAG00000050680.1)
Source: RNAcentral
AUGAUGGUCUCUGUGAUAAAAGUGUCAACCCAAAUUAAAGGAAUCACCAAAGUAGAGUUGAUGUGUUCCAUAAUAAUGGAAGUAAAAAGGAAUAUUAGCAGGUUAUCUGGUAGAACACUUUGUACUUACAGACUCUUUCAUUGUGUUUGUUCAGGUUCUUGUCAAGAAAACCCAGUGAACCUCACGGUAUUCACUGAUGGAAGCUUGCUCUUAACCUGGUAUCCCGUUAACGCCUUCGCUACUAUGCAGGUAUUCCUUCAAGAGUGGAAGGUGGCUCCUACUGCGGCUGACCUCAGAGUGUUGCAAGUGUUCAGGUAUUAUUGUUGGGUGCUGAAAUGA